UAAGACGAACCGUGCGAACGUUGUUCGGAAUCACUGGGCUUAAAGGGUGCGUAGGCGGGGUGGCAAGUCUGUGGUGAAAUCCGUCAGCUUAACUGACGAACUGCCGUGGAUACUGCGACUCUCGAGGGGUGUAGGGGCAUGUGGAACUCAGGGUGGAGCGGUGAAAUGCGUAGAUAUCCUGAGGAACGCCGGUGGCGAAAGCGACGUGCUGGACACCUUCUGACGCUGAGGCACGAAAGCCAGGGGAGCGAACGGGAUUAGAUACCCCGGUAGUCCUGGCCCUAAACGAUGGGUACUAGAUUGUGGGCUGGACAUGGGCCACAGUCGAAGCAAAAGUGUUAAGUACCCCGCCUGGGGAGUAUGGUCGCAAGGCUG
Molecule: ribosomal RNA, 375 nt
Filed under: uncultured bacterium
Lineage: Bacteria
Description: bacterial SSU rRNA
Rfam family: Bacterial small subunit ribosomal RNA
Source: RNAcentral